This 773-nucleotide ribosomal RNA is filed under the name uncultured Streptococcus sp. RNAcentral describes it as "bacterial SSU rRNA". It matches the Rfam family "Bacterial small subunit ribosomal RNA", at positions 28 to 776 of the family's 1533-position model. Lineage: Bacteria; Bacillati; Bacillota; Bacilli; Lactobacillales; Streptococcaceae. The record is from RNAcentral.
GACGAACGCUGGCGGCGUGCCUAAUACAUGCAAGUAGAACGCACAGGAUGCACCGUAGUUUACUACACCGUAUUCUGUGAGUUGCGAACGGGUGAGUAACGCGUAGGUAACCUGCCUGGUAGCGGGGGAUAACUAUUGGAAACGAUAGCUAAUACCGCAUAAGAACAUUUACUGCAUGGUAGAUGUUUAAAAGGUGCAAAUGCAUCACUACCAGAUGGACCUGCGUUGUAUUAGCUAGUUGGUGAGGUAACGGCUCACCAAGGCAACGAUACAUAGCCGACCUGAGAGGGUGAUCGGCCACACUGGGACUGAGACACGGCCCAAACUCCUACGGGAGGCAGCAGUAGGGAAUCUUCGGCAAUGGGGGGAACCCUGACCGAGCAACGCCGCGUGAGUGAAGAAGGUUUUCGGAUCGUAAAGCUCUGUUGUUAAGGAAGAACGUGUGUGAGAGUGGAAAGUUCACACAGUGACGGUACUUAACCAGAAAGGGACGGCUAACUACGUGCCAGCAGCCGCGGUAAUACGUAGGUCCCGAGCGUUGUCCGGAUUUAUUGGGCGUAAAGCGAGCGCAGGCGGUUAGAUAAGUCUGAAGUGAAAGGCAGUGGCUCAACCAUUGUAGGCUUUGGAAACUGUUUAACUUGAGUGCAGAAGGGGAGAGUGGAAUUCCAUGUGUAGCGGUGAAUGCGUAGAUAUAUGGAGGAACACCGGUGGCGAAAGCGGCUCUCUGGUCUGUAACUGACGCUGAGGCUCGAAAGCGUGGUGAAGCGAACAGG